RNAcentral lists this transfer RNA (73 nucleotides) under Caudoviricetes sp. Its description in RNAcentral is "tRNA-Arg". It matches the Rfam family "tRNA". From Rfam's summary of the family: Transfer RNA (tRNA) molecules are approximately 80 nucleotides in length. Their secondary structure includes four short double-helical elements and three loops (D, anti-codon, and T loops). Lineage: Duplodnaviria; Heunggongvirae; Uroviricota; Caudoviricetes. The record is from RNAcentral.
GGGCCAUUAGUUCAAUUGGAAAGAACAGUGUCCUCCUAAGACACCAGUACAGAUUCGAGUUCUGUAUGGCCCA